Non-coding RNA from Pogona vitticeps (central bearded dragon), 557 nucleotides. Lineage: Eukaryota; Metazoa; Chordata; Lepidosauria; Squamata; Agamidae. The record is from RefSeq and is a predicted model, not a curated record.
CAAUAUAGAAAGAAAAAAGAGUGGAGAAUAGAUUACAAGUGUUGAUUUGUUUUAUGGUUGCUGUUUUUGAAAAAAACAAAAAAGAGACAAAUUCCACAUUUUUUUACAAUUAAAAAAGGAAAGCCAUUAGAAUGUUGGAAGUUGUUUAGCUUACAAAAAAGACAAGGAAGGGAAGGCAUUAUAGAGCAAAAAGGAACUUUACCAGAAAUUCAAAACUCUGCAACAGCAUACUUUAUGCCUCAAGGAUGCACAUCUUAAUUUAACAAGAAGGUUUGAAGUAUUUCAGAAGAAGCUGUGAGCAAUAUUAUCAGUAGACUGGAUGCUGCCAAGAGCUGUGUUACCAAUGAAGCAACUGGAUUAAAGUUGAAAUAAUGUUUGGCUGAUAUGUGCAGAGACAAACAGUGCUGAAUGACUCAUACACUUGGAACAUGAAACAUUCAAGUAUAACUUAAGGAAAGGAAACAUACUUGUUAGACAAGCUCCCGUGUGUGCAAAUAAUAAAACAAUGGGAUUAUAAUUGGAUAUAAAUCUACAUGUUUGAAUCAGCCAGGAACAAA